CGGAUCUACAUAUGUAGCUGCAGCGAACACGUUUUUUUAAACAAAAUUUUUACACAAGUAAAUUCUUUGAUGUUCAUCGUUUUUGUAAAUUAAUUAAAAUAUUCGAUCAACGACCGCCGCGCCGACGGAAAGAUGGAACUAGUGUCUGAAUUCGAAGAUAUGGGAUUUGACCAUCGAAGAUUCAGACACUUCUGUAAUUGGCAACUGGCUUCCGUUAGUCGAAAACGUCUUCAUGGUAAAUUUGAAAAUACCUCAAACACCAGCAAACCACCAAAUCUGCUGUCGACGCACAGACCCUUAUCUGUCAUGUCCAAUGUUCAUUGGGCAGUCGUGCUGUGAUUUCUGGUCUUUGGAAAGCUACGACGCAAUGGUCAUCCUGAAUUUUGCAAUAUAGAACGGCCGGUCCUUAUAGAUUGCCGCUUGAUAGUGGUCAACGAAAAGACGAACACUUACGAACGACAUACGCUAUCAGGUAGUACGAGAGAGCGUUUGCCAGGGUGAACGUGGCGGUUAGAUGGUACAAGCGAAUCAUCCAAUCAAAAACAGAACGACGACAGUGAACUGACUGACAUGGUAGUCGAUGACAUUUGCGUUACGCCAAAAAAUAAAACGGAGAAACCUAACGACUUCCAUACCUUUAUCUAAGAUAGUAGUACAUAAUAUUCUAUAAUAAGUGUUACUUUGCCGAUCGUGUAUGCCGCCCUGUCGAUUCAGCAUACAAUUUCCGACAAUGACCAACAUCAACUUGUCGCCAGAUUUAUUUCCUGAUGAGCCGGAUGUUUUAUUCGAGUUUAUCCCCCGGACAUUUUGGAGUGACGAUGGGUACAACGGGACGUCGAACCAGCCAUACUUCUAGCGUUUGCUGAUGUGGCUGAAUUGGACUGGUGACCUUUUCGAACCGUAUCGCUCUGUACGGGACGAAGGGUUGAAUCUCCGUAAUGUGGCGCCUCUAAAAAUUCUUUGAUACAAAGUCAGGCGCAAUCAAACGGUGUACAAACAACAAACAACAAUGAUCUCCAACCAAAAACCAUUCGUUGAAGAAAGCAUCAGGAAAGAAGAACCAAGCUCCACGCAUCAUCGAUAACAACAACGGCAUCACCGCACCGUAAUCACUCUAAUACUCUUUCUCUCCCUUUCAUGGUUUAGACGGGUCCAGCAGCAGCAGCAGCAGCUUGCUUUGGGAUGAUGACGGCAACCCCGUCCCCAUCCCACCAUUGCCUCCAGUGUAAUUUAUGUGGGGAAGGAAAUCAAGCUAAGAUACAUGAUGUACAUAUAUGUAAAAAUGAUAUGUUUUAAUAAUGUGAAUACUAUAAAAGAAAUUGUAAAAUUUUAAAGAAACGUGGUUGUAAUAAUAAGAAAAAUCAUUGUUUUACGCAAUGAGAAAUUGUAUAAUGUUCAAUAUUGUUGAAACAAAAAAAUUGUAUUUUUUAUUAUGAAAGGGAAAAUUAAAUUGAAAAAUGGAUGUUUAAAUUUUAACAAAAAUAAAUUCUGUUAUAUGAUAUAUUAUGAAACCACUGCUCGUACAUCUAAGUUCAUCUCGUUCAUCUGAAAAAUAAAAAUAAAACGUAGGUCUAAUAUUAUUAUUAUUUUAUUUAAAAAAAAAUGUGUUAACCACAGCAAACAAUAUACAAACACUUACAAUCUAUUUAUCUUCAUUUAAUUGUACAACAUUCCAACAAAUUAUUAUGAUAACAGAACACAGUACCUAUUCCGACAACGCAUAGAUAGAAAUUUGAUAUAUACAUUACAUGGGAUGAAAAUAGAAUUAGGAACAAUUUCAAUUUAUUUACAAAGAGCGAUACAUUAACACCGAUAUAACUAAUAUUUUAAUCUAAAUGUUCAAAUUACACAUAAUCUUGUUACUGAUUGUAGAUUUGUUGUAAGACGAAAACUUGUGUUUAAUAUUGUAACUUCAACUUACAAAAUAUACAUUUGACGCCAUAGUUGAAAUUGUUGCAUUUUAUUUUAUUUAAAAAAAAAAAAAAAUGUCUAGUUGUGA
This is a long non-coding RNA of Adelges cooleyi (spruce gall adelgid), 1999 nucleotides long. RefSeq lists it as uncharacterized. The transcript has 5 exons. The record is from RefSeq and is a predicted model, not a curated record. NCBI's taxonomy places the organism in Eukaryota, Metazoa, Arthropoda, Insecta, Hemiptera, Adelgidae.